RNAcentral lists this ribosomal RNA (494 nucleotides) under uncultured bacterium. RNAcentral's name for it is "partial 16S ribosomal RNA". It matches the Rfam family "Bacterial small subunit ribosomal RNA", at positions 28 to 507 of the family's 1533-position model. The record is from RNAcentral.
GACGAACGCUGGCGGCGUGCUUAACACAUGCAAGUCGAACGGUGAAGCGCCUUCCUUUUUGGUGGGUGUGGAUGAGUGGCGAACGGGUGAGUAACACGUGAGUAACCUGCCCCCUUCUUCUGGAUAACCGCAUGAAAGUGUGGCUAAUACGGGAUAUUCUGGGUCUGUCGCAUGAUGGGUCUGGGAAAGAUAUUGUUGCGGUGGGGGAUGGGCUCGCGGCCUAUCUGCUUGUUGGUGGGGGGAGGGCCUACCAAGGCGGUGACGGGUAGCCGGCCUGAGAGGGUGGACGGCCACACUGGGACUGAGGCCCGGCCCAGACUCCUACGGGAGGCAGCCGUGGGGAAUAUUGCACAAUGGGCGCAAGCCUGCUGCAGCGACGCCGCGUGAGGGAUGGCGGCCUUCGGGUUGUGAACCUCUUUCGCCAGUGAAGCAGGCCUGCCUCGUUUGUGGGUGGGUUGACGGUAGCUGGAUAAGAAGCGCCGGCUAACUACGUG